GCCCCGGUAGCUCAGUAGGAUAGAGCAAUCGCCUCCUAAGCGAUAGGUCACAGGUUCGACUCCUGUUCGGGGCG
Molecule: transfer RNA, 74 nt
Filed under: Saccharophagus degradans 2-40
Lineage: Bacteria; Pseudomonadati; Pseudomonadota; Gammaproteobacteria; Cellvibrionales; Cellvibrionaceae
Rfam family: tRNA
About the family: Transfer RNA (tRNA) molecules are approximately 80 nucleotides in length.
Source: Rfam by way of RNAcentral